GACGAACGCUGGCGGCGUGCCUAAUACAUGCAAGUCGAGCGGAACUGGGGGAGCUUGCUCCUUCCAGUUUAGCGGCGGACGGGUGAGUAACACGUGGGCAACCUGCCCUGCAGAUCGGGAUAACUCCGGGAAACCGGUGCUAAUACCGAAUAGUUUGGCGCCUCUCCUGAGGCGCUACGGAAAGACGGUUUCGGCUGUCACUGCAGGAUGGGCCCGCGGCGCAUUAGCUAGUUGGUGGGGUAACGGCCCACCAAGGCGCCGAUGCGUAGCCGACCGGAGAGGGGGACCGGCAACACUGGGACUGAGACACGGCCCAGACUCCGACGGGAGGCAGCAGUAGGGAAUCUUCCGCAAUGGACGCAAGUCUGACGGAGCAACGCCGCGUGAGUGACGAAGGUUUUCGGAUCGUAAAACUCUGUUGUGAGGGAAGAACACGUACCAACUAACUAUUGGUACCUUGACGGUACCUCGCCAGAAAGCCACGGCUAACUACGUGCCAGCCGCCGCCGUAA
RNAcentral lists this ribosomal RNA (512 nucleotides) under uncultured bacterium. Its description in RNAcentral is "partial 16S ribosomal RNA". It matches the Rfam family "Bacterial small subunit ribosomal RNA", at positions 28 to 523 of the family's 1533-position model. The record is from RNAcentral.